GCUCCCGUAGUUUAAUGGAUAAAAUAUCAGAUUCCGGUUCUGAUGCUAUGGGUUCGAAUCCCUUCGGGAGCA
This 72-nucleotide transfer RNA is filed under the name Bacteroidales bacterium. RNAcentral's name for it is "tRNA-Arg". It matches the Rfam family "tRNA". Rfam says of the family: Transfer RNA (tRNA) molecules are approximately 80 nucleotides in length. Their secondary structure includes four short double-helical elements and three loops (D, anti-codon, and T loops). The record is from RNAcentral. Lineage: Bacteria; Pseudomonadati; Bacteroidota; Bacteroidia; Bacteroidales.